CCAGAGAACUUUCCAGAGAUGGAUUGGUGCCUUCGGGAACUCUGAGACAGGUGCUGCAUGGCUGUCGUCAGCUCGUGUUGUGAAAUGUUGGGUUAAGUCCCGCAACGAGCGCAACCCUUAUCCUUUGUUGCCAGCGAUUCGGUCGGGAACUCAAAGGAGACUGCCAGUGAUAAACUGGAGGAAGGUGGGGAUGACGUCAAGUCAUCAUGGCCCUUACGAGUAGGGCUACACACGUGCUACAAUGGCGCAUACAAAGAGAAGCGACCUCGCGAGAGCAAGCGGACCUCAUAAAGUGCGUCGUAGUCCGGAUUGGGGUCUGCAACUCGACUCCAUGAAGUCGGAAUCGCUAGUAAUCGUAGAUCAGAAUGCUACGGUGAAUACGUUCCCGGGCCUUGUACACACCGCCCGUCACACCAUGGGAGUGGGUUGCAAAAGAAGUAGGUAGCUUAACCUUCGGGAGGGCGCUUACCACUUUGUGAUUCAUGACUGGGGUGAAGUCGUAACAAGGUAAGCGUAGUGCU
RNAcentral lists this ribosomal RNA (521 nucleotides) under uncultured bacterium. Its description in RNAcentral is "bacterial SSU rRNA". It matches the Rfam family "Bacterial small subunit ribosomal RNA", at positions 988 to 1509 of the family's 1533-position model. The record is from RNAcentral.